GACGAACGCUGGCGGCGUGCUUAACACAUGCAAGUCGAACGAAGAGCGAUGGAAGCUUGCUUCUAUCAAUCUUAGUGGCGAACGGGUGAGUAACGCGUAAUCAACCUGCCCUUCAGAGGGGGACAACAGUUGGAAACGACUGCUAAUACCGCAUACGAUCUAAUCUCGGCAUCGAGGAUAGAUGAAAGGUGGCCUCUACAUGUAAGCUAUCACUGAAGGAGGGGAUUGCGUCUGAUUAGCUAGUGGGAGGGGGAACGGCCCACCAAGGCGAUGAUCAGUAGCCGGUCUGAGAGGAUGAACGGCCACAUUGGGACUGCGACACGGCCCAGACUCCUACGGGAGGCAGCAGUGGGGAAUCUUCCGCAAUGGACGAAAGUCUGACGGAGCAACGCCGCGUGAGCGAUGACGGCCUUCGGGUUGUAAAGCUCUGUUAAUCGGGACGAAAGGCCUUCUUGCGAAUAGUGAGAAGGAUUGACGGUACCGGAAUAGAAAGCCACGGCUAACUACGUG
RNAcentral lists this ribosomal RNA (510 nucleotides) under uncultured bacterium. Its description in RNAcentral is "partial 16S ribosomal RNA". It matches the Rfam family "Bacterial small subunit ribosomal RNA", at positions 28 to 507 of the family's 1533-position model. The record is from RNAcentral.